AUUCCCUGUGUUCCUAAUGUAAUUUUGGGUUUUGGGCCUUAAAUGUUUGGCCCAAUUCUGAUGUGCGAAGUUGUCCAGGCGUGGACCUUUUCAACCUAAGGAUUAAAUCGGCUGCUUGGGCAUUUGAACAAGAAAUGGGCGAUUUUUACAGCCCAAUUAUCAGGAGUCCAGCAUUUAACAGUGAGAUUUUCAAUUCUCACCCAACAAAGAGAUCGUAAUAGGACAAGUUGUGGAUAAGGUGGAUCACAGUGUAUUAUAUUAAAAACAUGCCAAUAAAGUCCAUGCCAAUUCCUACCCAAGCUAGCUGGAUGGUUAAGAAGAUCAUCCAAUCCAGGGACACUCUACAAAGGCUCCAGAACUGGAAACAUCAGAAAUGCACGACGAGACAGUUGUACCAGUCACAGUUGCAAGAAGUGCCGACAGUCCCAUGGAAGAAUUUAAUCAUACAAAACCAAGCCAGACCAAACGCAGUGUUCAACCUGUGGCUAUUCCUACAGGACAGACUCCCAACACAGUCCCAUGGAAGAACUUAAUCAUACAAAACCAAGCCAGACCAAAAGCAGUGUUCAACCUGUGGCUAUUCCUACAGGACAGAUUACCAACAAAUGAUAGACUACAUAGUUGGGGAAUGAGUAUUGAUCAGCAAUACACCCUAUGCCAAAUCCAACCUGAAACAAGAGAUCAUCUGCUCAGGAACUGCCCUGUCACUGUGGAUCUAUGGGGAAUGAACUGGCUGCAGGAACAAUACCUACCUAGUAUUAGUUGGAACCAGAAAGUGCAAUGGUUUGAACUGGUUGCAGGAACAAUACCUACCUAGUAUUGAUUGGAACCAGAAAGUGCAAUGGUUGAUUACCAAAGCCAAGGGACGAACAUGUCGUGCAACCAUUUUUAAAAUGGUUACAGCUGAAGUUGCAUAUGCUAUCUGCUGGAAAGGAAUUCAAGAGUAUUCAACAAGACUUUUCGAUGUAAUACUGCUUUACUGAGAGACAUAGUGUAUAAUUGUAAUGUUAGAGGCGCCCCUAGAAUUAGGCAACAAUUGCAACACCUUAGAUUGUAGUAAAAGUUAGAUAGUUAGGAUAAUAAGUGUAGUUAAUAUGUUAGCACUCAGACAGUCGGCCGAGUUGAAGCUUGACUGUGGUUUUGUAAUGUAACUUCAUUGGUGAUUAAUGAAAAAACCUUAAUUACCAAAAAAAAAGAGAUCGUAAUAGGUGAAUGCAAUAUCUUAUGUUAUUAAGUGCAUGACCAACACUAUAGCUAAUUUUAUACCGUGUACUCAUAUGAGUUUGAAAUUCCAGUUUGAGGCGAUGCUUUCAAAUUCGACUGCCUAAUCUGAUUGUCCUUUUGAUUUGUUUAAAUGAGACUACCACAUAUCCCUACUACAUUACCUACUAGAAAAAAUUUUAACAUGAAAACGCACAACCAUUACAAAAUGCUAUCACUGAGCAUGGCAUUUCUUGUUACUGAUAUUUAACACAGUCCUAGACAACUUUUAACAUCAAUACUGCAGCUAAUUAACAGAUAUAUGUAACCACUAACAGAAAUGAACUUGCUCUUUUACUAAGAAGAAUAAAAUUUUAACAGUCCUAUAUCAGUCUAAUUAUACAUUCAGCAACAAUUCACACGACAUUAGUGAAUGAAAUAUCCAAAAUACGAAUCAGUGGAACAGUUAAAUCAACUUAAGCUUCAAAUCCUCAUGUAUAUUCAGGCUCAAUGUUUCCUGCUUACAAAUUUGCAAGGUUACAGCCGUGUACCUGGGAAUCAGUUUACAGCAGAUGAAGAAGGAGUCAGCAAUAGUUAGCGCAUGUAACAGUAGAGCAGCAAUCACCAGCAACAAAUAGGACCAAUUCAGGGGUAAACCAAAUCAGAAUAUCCAGGAAGAAAGAGAAUCAAUCCAAAACCAUACUGAACUUAAUCGAAAUUGGACUGGGAGAAUUAUAAAUCACCUUGAGUCACGAGAUUUAACCUACAAUCAGCUCAAACCCAUUCACACAGACUCGAAACUGAAACCAAGUGAUCCAAUACCCCUACAGCUACUAGAAAUGUGCAGUGAUGAUUUGACUAAGCCUCAAAACUACUUUCAAUGGCCAUGAAUAUGAAGAUUACCCAAGGAAGCAAUUGAACAGUAAACUGCUUUUUUGUUUUUUUGUUUGUUUUCUAUUGUUGUUAGAUUUUUGAAUAUUUUAGAGUUUUGAUCUCAAGUUUCAGAUAUGAAACUUGUAGAGAAUGGGAGGGAAUUUUGUGAGGCUCCAAAACUUGUUAGUGAAGAAAAGGUCAUGCCCUUUUAUAAGCACAAUCAAAUUUUCAGUUUUUCUUUUAGU
Molecule: long non-coding RNA, 2318 nt
Filed under: Nicotiana benthamiana
Lineage: Eukaryota; Viridiplantae; Streptophyta; Magnoliopsida; Solanales; Solanaceae
Description: long non-coding RNA (NBEN_LNC004201)
Source: RNAcentral